CGAGUCCUGCCGCCGUCCGGAUCUGGUCGACACGAGGUAAUCGGCAGGAGUGGAGGACCCAGCAGUACCGGGACGUGCGCACCACGGCCGUCCCUUGGGGUGAAGCCGCGUCAGCGGCCGGGCAACUUCGCCUGCCCGAACCCGACAGGUCAUCCUUCGCAGGCGGAUGACGAAGGGUUG
Molecule: small RNA, 180 nt
Filed under: Streptomyces rubrolavendulae
Lineage: Bacteria; Bacillati; Actinomycetota; Actinomycetes; Kitasatosporales; Streptomycetaceae
Description: c-di-AMP sequence
Rfam family: c-di-AMP riboswitch aptamer (ydaO/yuaA leader)
About the family: This family represents a conserved RNA structure found upstream of the ydaO and yuaA genes in Bacillus subtilis and related genes in other bacteria. The ydaO/yuaA element is thought to act as a genetic "off" switch for the ydaO and yuaA genes in its native state.
Source: RNAcentral